This 405-nucleotide ribosomal RNA is filed under the name uncultured bacterium. Its description in RNAcentral is "partial 16S ribosomal RNA". It matches the Rfam family "Bacterial small subunit ribosomal RNA", at positions 28 to 525 of the family's 1533-position model. The record is from RNAcentral.
GACGAACGCUGGCGGCAGGCCUAACACAUGCAAGUCGAACGAGUGGCGGACGGGUGAGUAAUGUCUGGGAAACUGCCCGAUGGAGGGGGAUAACUACUGGAAACGAUAGCUAAUACCGCAUACCAUCGGAUGUGCCCAGAUGGGAUUAGCUAGGAGGUGGGGUAACGGCUCACCUGGGCGACGAUCCCUAGCUGGUCUGAGAGGAUGACCAGCAACACGGGACUGGAGACACGGUCCAGAUUCCGACGGGGGGCAGAGGUGGGGAAUAUUGCACAAGGGGCGAAAGCCUGAUGCAGCCAGGCCGCGUGUAUGAAGAAGGCCUUCGGGUUGUAAAGUACUUUCAGCGAGGAGGCGUUACUCGCAGAAGAAGCACCGGCUAACUCCGUGCCAGCAGCCGCGGUAAUA